This is a non-coding RNA of Trichechus manatus latirostris (Florida manatee), 1414 nucleotides long. Lineage: Eukaryota; Metazoa; Chordata; Mammalia; Sirenia; Trichechidae. The record is from the annotation of a RefSeq genome assembly.
AUGGCCUCCAGCGACCGCCCCUAUGUCUUCCCCUUGAACUUCUGCUGCAAUGAUGAAGUCAAAGCCUCUGUGACCUUGGGCUGCCUGGUGACUGGCUUAAUCUCGAAGCCAGUGACCGUGAAAUGGUACACUGGUUCCCUGAACAGCAGUUCUGUGACCUUCCCCACCACCCUCCACAUGGCCUCCAGCCUCUACACCACCGUGAGCCAGGUGACCGCCUCAGGCGAGUGGGCCCAACAGAAGUUCACCUGCAGCGUGGUACACGAACCGCCCAAAAGCAGCAUCAACAGGACCUUCACUGCAUGUUCCAAGAACAUAACCUCACCCACCGUGAAGCUGUUCCACACAGCAUGCGACCCCCGUGGUGACUCCCAGUCCACCAUCCAGCUGUUGUGCCGCAUCACCGGCUACACCCCAGGGUCCAUAGAGGUCACCUGGCUGGUUAAUGGAGAGAAGACUCGGGGCCUCUACUCAACCACGACCCAGCCCAAGCAGGAGGGCAAGCUGGCCUCCAUCUACAGUGAAGUCAACAUCACCCAGGGCCAGUGGGUGCCUGAAAAGACCUACACCUGCCGUGUCACUGUCCACGGAAGAUCCUAUGAGUCCAGUGCCCAGAGGUGCCUAGAUUCUGAACCUCGAGGAGUGAGCGCUUACCUCAUCCCACCCAGCCCCGUCGACCUGUACGUCAACAAGAUGCCUAAGCUCACAUGCCUGGUGGUGGACCUGGCCAGUGAGGAUGGGGUGAAAGUGAACUGGUCGCGGAGCAGGGGGACCUCUGUGCAUGCUGACCCACAUACUGCCAAGAGGCAACAAAAUGCAACAGUCAGUAUCAUGUCCACCCUGCCAGUGGACACCAAGAACUGGAUUGAGGGCGAGACCUAUCACUGUGUAGUGUCCCACCCACACCUACCCAGAGAAAUUGAGAGGUCUAUCACCAAGGCCCCCGGCAAGCGUUUGCCCCCCGAGAUCUACUUGUUCCCGCCACCCGAGAAGCAGGGGGACAAGGACAGGCUCACCCUCACCUGUCUAGUCCAGAACUUCUUCCCCCCUGACAUCUCGGUACAGUGGCUGUGCAACAAGGUGCCCGUGCCUUCGGACCAGGUCUACACCACUGAGCCCCAACCAACUAGUGGCCGCACCCGCGCCUUCUUCACUUUCAGCCUCCUGGAGAUCAGCAAGUCUGACUGGGAGCAGCAGAAGACCUUCACCUGCUAUGUGGUCCAUGAGGCACUGCCUGAAACAAGAAUUCAGGAGAAAUCGGUGUCGAAAGGCUCCGGUAAUUGAUAUCCCCCUAUCCUACCCUCUCCCGGGCCCUGUCUCCUGGGGCGGGGGAUUGGGGAAGUGGAGGACUGGCCAGACCCUCCAUAUGCUGUGUAAUGACCCUGGGAAGCCACCCCAAUAAACAUCAAGUGCC